GCGGUGGAGGCGGGGCGCCAACCACAACCACAACCACCACUACGACGACGACCACCACCACCACGACCACCACCACGCCCAGCACCACCACACAGACAACCACUACUACUGUAGCCACAUUGCAAGGACAACGUUUGGGCAGUAAUUACGUCCGGGCGUCUCGUUUACCUCCAUCGUGUUAUAACUCACCACCACCCGUCACGGCCUUGAGAACAUACAACGUCAGGUCUGUGGUGGAAUGUGCUACACGCUGUGAGCAGCGCUCACUCUCCAAUUGCAAACACAUCACAGUAAACAACGGCUUGUGUAGUUUGUACACCGAGCUCUCUUGUCCAUGUACAACAAAGAGGUACGAUCGAAGGGACUGACACUGACAAAAGGAACAACAAAAACAAACGCCACUCAAGCCCCAUGACGUCACAUCCGUCGGAUUGGUUAUGUACAGAAGAAUCUCACCACAGACAAAACAACGCUGAAGAGAAGAACAAAUUAUCCAAGGAAGUGUUUUCUUCUCUUCUUGUUGUUGAUUUCGUAGCUGGAACAUGACGUAUUCAGCGUUUGGAUUUUAUGUUCUUUUUUUUUGUUGUUGCUCGAUUUCGAAGCUAGUACAACAUGUAUUGAGCAUUAGGAUUUUAUUAUUCUCUCUCUCUCUCUCUCUCUCUCUCUCUCUCUCUCUCUCUCUCUCUCUCUCUCCCUCUCUCUCUCUUUCUCUCUCUCUCCAUGUACACGCAUAUAUAAGAAUCUAUAAGACUGUCUUGGCAGGCAUUUGCUUGCUGGCUACAAACGUGUUAUGGGCAACGAAACAAACAGGGGAGAGAACAAAAGAGAAUUCUGAUUUUUCAUGAUCAAUCUUUUCCAAGCUUGUGCGUGGCAGGUUUUGUCCGACAGUCUUUUGUUAUAGACCUGGUGCUAUGGAGCUGAUCAGCAGGACUGAAAAGAGAAAGUAAUGGGAUAUCCUAGCAUGAUCGCCAAUGUCGGCGUCAGACCUGACAUGUAAA
This is a long non-coding RNA of Aplysia californica (California sea hare), 998 nucleotides long. RefSeq lists it as uncharacterized. NCBI's taxonomy places the organism in Eukaryota, Metazoa, Mollusca, Gastropoda, Aplysiida, Aplysiidae. The transcript is spliced from 2 exons. The record is from RefSeq and is a predicted model, not a curated record.